Molecule: ribosomal RNA, 23 nt
Filed under: Transversotrema licinum
Lineage: Eukaryota; Metazoa; Platyhelminthes; Trematoda; Azygiida; Transversotrematidae
Description: partial 5.8S ribosomal RNA
Source: RNAcentral
GGCCACGUCUGUCCGAGAGUCGG